UAAUAUUUAUUGCUGCCUUGUUCUAUAUAAAUGUUUCUAACAUGCAGGUAACAUUUAUAUAUGUAUUAGUUUGAAUAAAUCAUUUUAAUAAAGUUACAUUAUAGGCAGGAAUGUUUGACUGGAAAUAUAAACGAUGUUGUACAUAAUGCAGAUAGCUUAGGCAAAAAAGAGAUUGGUGAAAUGGAGAAUGAGACUAACUAGGGUGAAAAAAAAUGAAUAUUAAUAUGUGAAUGGUACUUUGUUUAACAUCUACCUGUUUCUACAGAUACAGUACAGACGCAUUUAUAAAUGGGCUUGAUGUUUUUUUGAAUUAAAUAUGUUGUAUUGA
Molecule: long non-coding RNA, 328 nt
Organism: Hydra vulgaris (swiftwater hydra)
Lineage: Eukaryota; Metazoa; Cnidaria; Hydrozoa; Anthoathecata; Hydridae
Source: RefSeq, a predicted model, not a curated record